Long non-coding RNA from Psammomys obesus (fat sand rat), 1886 nucleotides. RefSeq lists it as uncharacterized. Lineage: Eukaryota; Metazoa; Chordata; Mammalia; Rodentia; Muridae. The transcript is spliced from 5 exons. The record is from RefSeq and is a predicted model, not a curated record.
UGAACCAUUACACUAAGUAAAUUAAUAUAUGGGUGUUUGGAUAGGAAGGCUUUGCUCAAGAUUAUGAUCACUGAAUUUAUGCUAAGAAGGCAUCACAGCGGGAAGAGGAAGGAAUGCUGUAUUCAUCCACUGUUAUUCCACUGGUGCCGAGGACAAGCUGAGUAAGAGUGGAGCUCAGACCUGGGGUCAGAAGUCCCAUGAGAUAACAGUGAUUCGAUGUCCACUCUUAGGUCCCUUUCUAUAGAGUUGGACAAGUGUUCCCUUGCUCACCCUCCCAGCUCGAGUGCUGCAGGUUACAGGCCAUGCACAAAUCCUGUGAACAGCCUCUGUCUACUGUAAAAUACAAAAGGUUUAAAAUGCGAAAGAUUUUACCUGUUUUGUGAUUUGUGACGACACAACUAUAUCCAAAAUAAAAUUGGAUGUCAGAUGGCAAGAAGCUAUGGAUACUUUUUAUGAAUCUGAUUUCCAUACUUAUUACAACAGGAUUGGUGGCAUACGAAGGAGCCUGGUUUUCACUACAGCAACAGCAACAGACACCUUGGAGAAUCCCUGCAUUGGGACUAAUCUACAAGGAUUUCCAGAGAACAGUUUCUCCAAGUGCACACAGUGAUCCUAAGGUGCAUGAAGAUAGGAGCUAAAGAAGGAUUUGCGAAAACUAGUCACGGUGUGCAUCACAUACAAGCGGAACUUCCUGUUUGUAUCAAGCACAGGAGUCUUUUUUCAAGAUGUUGAGGAAGUGCUAUGCCUCUAGCCUAGAUGGAAAUGAUUCUCAGUUCAUGUAGAUUCCUCAGGCAGAAAAACAAAAAUCUGAAACAAAGGAUUGGGAAAAACAUAAGUGAAGCUGCACCUUUGAGAGCUGAAGCCAUGAACUAAAAUUGUGUAGGUUUCUCACGGCAUCUGUAUGGUGCUCUAAAAUAGUCAAGGUUGAUAUAAGAGUCUUUUUAACUGGCUAUGUGACUGGCAGUCUUAGUUCAUGGUCACUUCUCGUCAAUAGAUAAUUGUCACUAGAAAACAUUUGUGGAAGGAAAUUCUUGUUUGUUUUCCUUUUAUUAUCUGUUUUCCUUUAACUUUGCUAUUGCAGCAUGUGAGGAUGAGAUAGUCCGGCACGGGGAACAGCUGUUACUCAUUUUGGGAUGAACUGGAAACAUAGCUAUCUUUGAGUCAUUUCUGCUCAAGGAAGUGCUGAUUGAAAAGGAGAGCCCAAUACCUGCUAGUUAAGGAAGCAAAGUGCACAGUCACAAAGCCUGUUUCUAGUUCUGAGUUUCUGGAAUUAAUAGCAACUCACUGAGAAAAGAAGCUUCUCUGACCCCAGCUGAAGAGUAGCACUAAUCUCAGGCUAUAAACAUGAAUAUUUUCAAGAGGCACUGUUGUGUAACUGUUUCCUCCAAGAUCAAAAUCUUUUACCUUACAGGAAAGCUUGUUAAGACACAGGGUAUUAAAAAAAAGAUGCAGAAUAGCAAGAUAUUCCAAGAAUGAGUGAAAAUUCCCAUCCAGCCUGGAAGGUUAUUAUGGUCAAGCAGUACAUAGCUUAGAGACUUCAGGAAGCCCCUGAAACCAAAUAAAACAGAGUCCUUCCUCUCUGAAAAUAUACAGACUAUAAUGAGUAUUGAUAGGAACUCUCAAAUGAGUUAAGCAUACCUGGGAAAAAUAAAAACCAACCAGGCUCUCCAGAAGAGGCUCAGAGCAACUGAACUGCCUAAAAGAAGCCCUUUCCAUAUGUUGUGCUGUCUGCAGGCUGUGAAAAUUGUUCCAGGUCUCUAACUAUUACGCACUGUUAUUCAUUUUGCGGUGAACUGGUGACAUAGCUAUCUUUGUGUCAUUUCUGCUCCUGGAAGUAACACUUCAUCAAUAUUCUUAUAAGAACCACAUAGAAAUAAACCCCACUG